This 229-nucleotide ribosomal RNA is filed under the name uncultured bacterium. Its description in RNAcentral is "partial 16S ribosomal RNA". It matches the Rfam family "Bacterial small subunit ribosomal RNA", at positions 568 to 796 of the family's 1533-position model. The record is from RNAcentral.
CGUGUAGGCGGUUCGUUAAGUCUGGUGUGAAAGCCCGGGGCUCAACUCCGGAAGUGCACUGGAUACUGGCGAACUAGAGGACGAGAGAGGGAAGCGGAAUUCCUGGUGUAGGGGUGAAAUCCGUAGAUAUCAGGAGGAACGUCGGAGGCGAAGGCGGCUUCCUGGCUCGUAUCUGACGCUGAGACGCGAAAGCGUGGGUAGCAAACAGGAUUAGAUACCCUGGUAGUCC